RNAcentral lists this unclassified non-coding RNA (404 nucleotides) under Hevea brasiliensis (rubber tree). The record is from RNAcentral. Lineage: Eukaryota; Viridiplantae; Streptophyta; Magnoliopsida; Malpighiales; Euphorbiaceae.
GCAAGCUCAAAACGUCAAGUUUUCGAUACGCAAAUACGCCGUCGGUUUAUUUCUCCUCUCUCUCUCUCUCUCUCUCAUAUCUAGCCUGCAGAGGCGGGGCUCUCUCUCUCUCUCUCCCUACCAACUCCUCGCAAACGACCUCGUCUUCUAUAUAGGCGAAGGCGGAAAGGGGAGAAUUUGUAAUGGCUACUGCUACAUACCCACCACCUCCACCGUAUUACAGAUUGUACAAAGAUUACUUGCAAAACCCUAAGUCCGCUCCUGAGCCUCCUUCUCCUAUUGAAGGGACCUACAUCUGUUUUGGUGGAAAUUACACUACUGAUUAUGUACUUCCAAGCCUGGAAGAGCAAGGAGUGCGUCGGCUCUAUCCCAAGGGACCCAAUGUAGAUUUCAAGAAACAACUG